RNAcentral lists this ribosomal RNA (771 nucleotides) under uncultured Neocallimastigales. Its description in RNAcentral is "partial large subunit ribosomal RNA". It matches the Rfam family "Eukaryotic large subunit ribosomal RNA", at positions 18 to 640 of the family's 3401-position model. Lineage: Eukaryota; Fungi; Neocallimastigomycota; Neocallimastigomycetes; Neocallimastigales. The record is from RNAcentral.
UCAGACGAUGCGUCAUGCAUAUCAAUAAGCGGAGGAAAAGAAACUAACAAGGAUUCCCUCAGUAACGGCGAGUGAAGCGGGAAGAGCUCAAAUUUGAAAUCUUGAAAGGUCACCUUUCACGAAUUGUAGUUUAAAGAAGUGUUUUCUGUUACGAUCGUAAUAUAAGUUCUUUGGAAUAGGACAUCACAGAGGGUGAGAAUCCCGUCUAUGAUUGCGAUUUGUAGCUUUGUGAUACACUUUCAAAGAGUCGGGUUGUUUGGGAAUGCAGCCCAAAACGGGAGGUAAAUUUCUUCUAAGGCUAAAUAUCGGCGAGAGACCGAUAGCGAACAAGUACCGUGAGGGAAAGAUGAAAAGAACUUUGAAAAGAGAGUUAAAUAGUACGUGAAAUUGUCAAAAGGGAAGCGUUUAACACCAGUGUUGUUUUCUGAAAAUCAACCUCUGUUAGCUUUAUGCAUGUUUGUUUAGACCUAAUCAGCUAUCUUGCAUGUUCUAUUGUUUGCAGUGGUGCACUUUUCAGUUUACAGGUCAACAUCAGUUUUUUUUACCGUAAAAAAGUUAAAGAAAGGUAGCUCAUGGCUCCGGUCGUGAGUGUUAUAGUCUUUUUCCUAUGCGGUAGGAGAGACUGAGGUCUGCAGUGUAGGCUAUUUGGCUAGAUACUCAGGUGCUAUGUGAUACCAUUUCAUAAACAACUUGUUGAUUAUGUUUUGUCUAUUGCAUACUCGCUUGUACUAUCAUACCUACGCUUAGGAUGUUGAAGACUCUACAGAGAUA